AUACGAAGGGGGCUAGCGUUGUUCGGAAUCACUGGGCGUAAAGGGCGCGUAGGCGGGUCUUUAAGUCGGGGGUGAAAGCCUGUGGCUCAACCACAGAAUGGCCUUCGAUACUGGGGACCUUGAGACCGGAAGAGGUGAGUGGAACUGCGAGUGUAGAGGUGAAAUUCGUAGAUAUUCGCAAGAACACCAGUGGCGAAGGCGGCUCACUGGUCCGGUUCUGACGCUGAGGCGCGAAAGCGUGGGGAGCAAACA
Molecule: ribosomal RNA, 252 nt
Filed under: uncultured prokaryote
Description: partial 16S ribosomal RNA
Rfam family: Bacterial small subunit ribosomal RNA
Source: RNAcentral